This 422-nucleotide ribosomal RNA is filed under the name uncultured bacterium. RNAcentral describes it as "bacterial SSU rRNA". It matches the Rfam family "Bacterial small subunit ribosomal RNA", at positions 355 to 774 of the family's 1533-position model. The record is from RNAcentral.
UGAGGAAUAUUGGGCAAUGCCCGCAAGGGUGACCCAGCAACGCCGCGUGGAGGAUGAAUGUCGUAAGAUUGUAAACUCCUGUUAGAGGGGAAGAAUAGUACCGGUUGGACCGGUAUAUGACUGUACCCUCAGAGAAAGCCCCGGCUAACUACGUGCCAGCAGCCGCGGUAAUACGUAGGGGGCAAGCGUUGUCCGGAUUUACUGGGUGUAAAGGGCGCGCAGGCGGGAUAAAAAGUCAGUGGUGAAAUCCUACAGCUUAACUGUAGAACUGCCUUUGAUACUUUUAUUCUUGAGUUCGGGAGAGAGAGACGGAAUUCCAGGUGUAGUGGUGAGAUACGUAGACAUCUGGAAGAACACCAGUUGCGAAGGCGGUCUCUUGGUCCGACACUGACGCUGAGGCGCGAAAGCGUGGGGAGCAAACA